GUCGUUGUAGUAUUGUGGUGAGUAUCCCCGCCUGUCAUGCGGGAGACUCAGGUUCGAUCCCCGGCAAUGGCG
This 72-nucleotide transfer RNA is filed under the name Ipomoea nil (Japanese morning glory). It matches the Rfam family "tRNA". From Rfam's summary of the family: Transfer RNA (tRNA) molecules are approximately 80 nucleotides in length. Their secondary structure includes four short double-helical elements and three loops (D, anti-codon, and T loops). Lineage: Eukaryota; Viridiplantae; Streptophyta; Magnoliopsida; Solanales; Convolvulaceae. The record is from Rfam by way of RNAcentral.